Molecule: unclassified non-coding RNA, 284 nt
Filed under: Glomeraceae sp.
Lineage: Eukaryota; Fungi; Glomeromycota; Glomeromycetes; Glomerales; Glomeraceae
Description: partial contains 5.8S ribosomal RNA and internal transcribed spacer 2
Source: RNAcentral
GUGAAUCAUCGAAUUUUUGAACGCAAAUUGCACUCUCCUCGGAGAGCAUGCCUGUUUGAUGGUCAGCCUAUAAAAAAUCGACAUCGUUGCUGUUUUACGGUGACGUUCGUCGGGAAUUGGGUCAUCUUAAAUCUUUUGGGUUUAAGCGACUUAAAAUUUUCUUUUUGGUUCCUUGAACGUCUCUAAGAUUUAUUUCUUUAAACUUUUAAGGUAUCGAUUUUUAUUAGACGUGGCCAUCAUAUCGGAUCGCGUCCAUAAUCUUUCCUUAACUGACCUUAGCACGG